CUUCACCGAGCCCAGCAGCAGCGGCGUCUCGCGCUCGCGGCCGUACGUGGCCAGCAACGCCUGUGCCUC
Molecule: antisense RNA, 69 nt
Filed under: Streptomyces mutabilis
Lineage: Bacteria; Bacillati; Actinomycetota; Actinomycetes; Kitasatosporales; Streptomycetaceae
Description: Aspks sRNA
Rfam family: ASpks TB sRNA
Source: RNAcentral